Molecule: ribosomal RNA, 435 nt
Filed under: Triticum aestivum (bread wheat)
Lineage: Eukaryota; Viridiplantae; Streptophyta; Magnoliopsida; Poales; Poaceae
Description: partial small subunit ribosomal RNA
Source: RNAcentral
AUGAUCGAAAUGAAUUGUGCGCCGUUCCUUCCAUCCCUUCUCCUCCUCAGCCUUACCUUGGCAACCAUUGCCACCUGCAAUGACCAAUUCUUCUUCUCUGGCUUUACACAAUCUAACCUAACCCUGGAUGGUAGUGUCGUGGUCACACAAGACGGCCUCCUCGAUAUGUCCAACGGCACGAACAAUGUCAAAGGUCAUGCUCUUUACCCCACUCCUUUGCGCUUCCGCGAUUCAUCUACCGGGAAAGUGCAAUCAUUCUCGGUCACCAUCAUUUUUUGUAUCGUCAAUACAUACCCUGGCGUGGCUGCUAAUGGGGUGGCCUUCUUCAUUGCCCCAAGCAAGAAUUUCUCAGAUGCACUGCCCGCGCAAUACUUUGGGAUCCUGAAACAGAAGAGCAAUGACAGCCUCUUGGUAAUUGAGGUUGACACCUUCUAG